GACGAACGCUGGCGGCGUGCUUAACACAUGCAAGUCGAACGGAAAGGCCCUGCUUUUGUGGGGUGCUCGAGUGGCGAACGGGUGAGUAACACGUGAGUAACCUGCCCUUGACUUUGGGAUAACUUCAGGAAACUGGGGCUAAUACCGGAUAGGAGCUCCUGCUGCAUGGUGGGGGUUGGAAAGUUUCGGCGGUUGGGGAUGGACUCGCGGCUUAUCAGCUUGUUGGUGGGGUAGUGGCUUACCAAGGCUUUGACGGGUAGCCGGCCUGAGAGGGUGACCGGCCACAUUGGGACUGCGAUACGGCCCAGACUCCUACGGGAGGCAGCAGUGGGAAAUAUUGCGCAAUGGGCGGAAGCCUGAUGCAGCAACGCCGCGUGCGGGAUGACGGCCUUCGGGUUGUAAACCGCUUUCGCCUGUGACGAAGCGUGAGUGACGGUAAUGGGUAAAGAAGCACCGGCUAACUACGUG
Molecule: ribosomal RNA, 468 nt
Filed under: uncultured bacterium
Lineage: Bacteria
Description: partial 16S ribosomal RNA
Rfam family: Bacterial small subunit ribosomal RNA
Source: RNAcentral